This is a long non-coding RNA of Ornithodoros turicata, 376 nucleotides long. RefSeq lists it as uncharacterized. The transcript has 2 exons. Lineage: Eukaryota; Metazoa; Arthropoda; Arachnida; Ixodida; Argasidae. The record is from RefSeq and is a predicted model, not a curated record.
GCCCAGGGUAGAAGAAAGAAGAAAAACGACGGGUCAUUCACGAGCCGAGCACAUAGGAAGCGGACAGAAAGCAAACACGAAAAGGUUUCUUUUUGAAGACAAAGGAAAUGGCCGCUGAGAUGCCGCUGAGAUGCCGACUGAUACCAGAAACAUCGAUACUUUGGCAGGGAUGUAACGGCAGGCAGAUCACUCGGUAAUAACACGCCAGCAACCAACUAUUGCCCGUGAUGUGGACAGUGAGGUGGUGAUGUAGCGGCUUCAGCGGCGAUUCAGACCAUGAAGUGGAAUGCUUCCAUCGGGAUGAAUGUCCUGCGAAGAACUGUAUUCGUUGCCCGGAAACUGUUUGGACGAAUGGAACAACGUACAGAUUAAUGGA